GACGAACGCUGGCGGCGUGCCUAAUACAUGCAAGUAGAACGCUGAAGAGAGGAGCUUGCUCUUCUUGGAUGAGUUGCGAACGGGUGAGUAACGCGUAGGUAACCUGCCUUGUAGCGGGGGAUAACUAUUGGAAACGAUAGCUAAUACCGCAUAACAAUGGAUGACACAUGUCAUUUAUUUGAAAGGGGCAAUUGCUCCACUACAAGAUGGACCUGCGUUGUAUUAGCUAGUAGGUGAGGUAAUGGCUCACCUAGGCGACGAUACAUAGCCGACCUGAGAGGGUGGUCGGCCAAACUGGGACCGGGACACGGCCCAGAAUCCUACGGGAGGGAGCAGUAGGGAAUCUUCGGCAAAGGGGGCAACCCUGGCCGAGCAACGCCGGGUGGGUGAAGAAGGGUUUCGGAUCGUAAAGCUCUGUUGUAAGUCAAGAACGGGUGUGAGAGUGGAAAGUUCACACUGUGACGGUAGCUUAACAGAAAGGGACGGCUAACUACGUG
This 497-nucleotide ribosomal RNA is filed under the name uncultured bacterium. Its description in RNAcentral is "partial 16S ribosomal RNA". It matches the Rfam family "Bacterial small subunit ribosomal RNA", at positions 28 to 507 of the family's 1533-position model. The record is from RNAcentral.